Molecule: long non-coding RNA, 207 nt
Organism: Malurus melanocephalus (red-backed fairy wren)
Lineage: Eukaryota; Metazoa; Chordata; Aves; Passeriformes; Maluridae
Exons: 3
Source: RefSeq, a predicted model, not a curated record
UUGGAAUUUUUUGGGAAUUUUGGGCAGAAAUUUUGGUUUUUUCUCCCUCAGGCGUCUCAAGGACCUCCCCGAUUGGAGCUUCGCAGACGGACGCCCCUCCCCCCCCUGGAGGGGACAAAUCCGGAGACGCCGCGAGAACGGAGAAAUUGUGCUCCGCAUCCGCGCCCUCAGCAAAUCCCUGGAAAUGGCGAAGAAAACAGAGAGAGG